AUAGUGAAGAGCGUUCGGGCCUUCAUGGUUCAGGAUGCUCGUCGCGGCCAGGGUCUCUGCUCGGGUUGUGACAAUCUUUAUCCUCGUGUUUGAAGUGCUUUCGAGGUGAAAAAAAUGUUCAUAGGAAUCACUUAAAGCGAAGUUGAGCUAAGAACCUUUGAUUCGGCUAAAUCUUUAUAUUCGAUUCUACAAGGGUCCACUUUAAACAUGUAUAACUUUCGAUACAUGUAGAAUUUCACAACUCAAGAAACACCAAAUUGUAGUAAUUGAGUUAUCUUUCCAGCGAUACCAAUCUUGCCUUAAUUUGUUACCUGAGUAAAAAGUUAUGGCAUUCUUUGUGAGAGACAGUAAGCCAACGUGAUUGGGAUGCGACGCCCGGUCUCUUGACAUGAUGCGUUGCUAUCCCAGCAUGAUAUCUGGCGCGAUAUGGAGCUUUUUCACAUGCCUUAAACUUCUUAAGGGUCUAGGGGUACUUUGAUCAUAUUUCCUCACCCAAAUCCGUCCAUAACACAAAAUUUUAGCUCCCAAGGAGCAUUAGUUGCCUCUUUAUUCAAUUUUCUCUAAAAAAAAAUCCUAACCACCUCCCCACAAUCAGAUUCAACUCUUCUUCCCCAAAGAUCAAGAAUUCAAACUUCAAAUCAAGAUUCUCAAGAAAAAUUUCAAGAUUAGGGCUCCAUUCUUUAAACUAAGGAACUUUAAGGUUCUGAGGCCCAGUCUAGAGAUCCUGCUAAAAAGUAUAUUGUUGUCGGACAUUCAGAGUUGGUGAGCCCCCCUUACUUCAAAAAGGGUCUUGUUCACUUGUGUUGAUCUCAUUUGGUUUUGGUUUGUGGUCCGACCGGGGGCAUUGUCCCGGUCUUCAAAUAGAUGUUUCUUUGCUUCAGUUAGUAGAGAUUUUACAAACAAGUGUUAGAUAGAUUUGAGUCUUGUUGAACUUAUGCCAUAUUGUUUUAUUGAUAUGAUCAGAUGACCAUGUGUCCGUUUUUUUUCCA
This is a long non-coding RNA of Capsicum annuum, 989 nucleotides long. RefSeq lists it as uncharacterized. Lineage: Eukaryota; Viridiplantae; Streptophyta; Magnoliopsida; Solanales; Solanaceae. The record is from RefSeq and is a predicted model, not a curated record. The transcript has 2 exons.